UCCGAACGUCAUGCUGAGCUUGUCGAAGCAUCUCUACCGCUUCGGUUGGGCCGUUCAACGAAGCGGUAGAGAUGCUUCGACAAGCUCAGCAUGACGUUCUGUUAAAUUCCCAAACACGUUUUAAAAAAAGAAUAGCUCAGUUUAAAUGCCUGAAUUAUUCUU
This 162-nucleotide non-coding RNA is filed under the name Hymenobacter sedentarius. RNAcentral's name for it is "Aggregatibacter sRNA 41". It matches the Rfam family "Aggregatibacter sRNA 41". Rfam says of the family: Validated by RT-PCR, expression up-regulated during growth. Lineage: Bacteria; Pseudomonadati; Bacteroidota; Cytophagia; Cytophagales; Hymenobacteraceae. The record is from Rfam by way of RNAcentral.